RNAcentral lists this ribosomal RNA (253 nucleotides) under uncultured bacterium. RNAcentral's name for it is "partial 16S ribosomal RNA". It matches the Rfam family "Bacterial small subunit ribosomal RNA", at positions 524 to 776 of the family's 1533-position model. The record is from RNAcentral.
UACGUAGGGUGCAAGCGUUAAUCGGAAUUACUGGGCGUAAAGCGUGCGCAGGCGGUUUUGUAAGUCUGACGUGAAAUCCCCGGGCUUAACCUGGGAAUUGCGUUGGAGACUGCAAGGCUGGAGUCUGGCAGAGGGGGGGUAGAAUUCCACGUGUAGCAGUGAAAUGCGUAGAGAUGUGGAGAACACCGAUGGCGAAGGCAGCCCCCUGGGUCAAGACUGACGCUCAUGCACGAAAGCGUGGGGAGCAAACAGG